GCCCCAGUAACGGCGAGUGAAGCGGCAACAGCUCAAAUUUGAAAUCUGGUCCCUAGGGCCCGAGUUGUAAUUUGUAGAGGAUGCUUUUGGUGAGGUGCCGCCCGAGUUCCCUGGAACGGGACGCCACAGAGGGUGAGAGCCCCGUCUGGCUGGCCGCCGAGCCUCUGUAAAGCUCCUUCGACGAGUCGAGUAGUUUGGGAAUGCUGCUCAAAAUGGGAGGUAUAUGUCUUCUAAAGCUAAAUAUUGGCCAGAGACCGAUAGCGCACAAGUAGAGUGAUCGAAAGAUGAAAAGCACCUUGAAAAGAGGGUUAAAUAGUACGUGAAAUUGUUGAAAGGGAAGCGCUUGUGACCAGACUUGGGCGCGGCGGAUCAUCCGGGGUUCUCUCCGGUGCACUUCGCCGCGUCUAGGCCAGCAUCAGUUCGUCGCGGGGGAAAAAGGCUUCGGGAACGUGGCUCCUCCGGGAGUGUUAUAGCCCGUUGCAUAAUACCCUGCGGUGGACUGAGGACCGCGCAUCUGCAAGGAUGCUGGCGUAAUGGUCACCAGCGACCCGUCUUGAAACACGGACCAAGGAGUCGUCUUCGUAUGCGAGUGUUCGGGUGUCAAACCCCUACGCGUAAUGAAAGUGAACGCAGGUGAGAGCUUCGGCGCAUCAUCGACCGAUCCUGAUGUUCUCGGAUGGAUUUGAGUAAGAGCAUACGGGGCCGGACCCGAAAGAAGGUGAACUAUGCCUGUAUAGGGUGAAGCCAGAGGAAACUCUGGUGGAGGCUCGCAGCGGUUCUGACGUGCAAAUCGAUCGUCAAAUAUGGGCAUGGGGGCGAA
This 820-nucleotide ribosomal RNA is filed under the name Trichoderma guizhouense. RNAcentral's name for it is "partial large subunit ribosomal RNA". It matches the Rfam family "Eukaryotic large subunit ribosomal RNA", at positions 77 to 927 of the family's 3401-position model. The record is from RNAcentral. Lineage: Eukaryota; Fungi; Ascomycota; Sordariomycetes; Hypocreales; Hypocreaceae.